This 449-nucleotide ribosomal RNA is filed under the name uncultured bacterium. RNAcentral describes it as "partial 16S ribosomal RNA". It matches the Rfam family "Bacterial small subunit ribosomal RNA", at positions 330 to 794 of the family's 1533-position model. The record is from RNAcentral.
GCCAGACUCCUACGGGAGGCAGCAGUGGGGGAUAUUGCACAAUGGGGGGAACCCUGAUGCAGCGACGCCGCGUGGGUGAAGGAGCGUUUCGGCGCGUAAAGCCCUAUCGGCAGGGAAGAAGGAGGACGGUACCUGACUAAGAAGCCCCGGCUAACUACGUGCCAGCAGCCGCGGUAAUACGUAGGGGGCAAGCGUUAUCCGGAUUUACUGGGUGUAAAGGGGGCGCAGACGGCGAUGCAAGCCAGGAGUGAAAGCCCGGGGCCCAACCCCGGGACUGCUCUUGGAACUGCGUGGCUGGAGUGCAGGAGGGGCAGGCGGAAUUCCUGGUGUAGCGGUGAAAUGCGUAGAUAUCAGGAGGAACACCGGUGGCGAAGGCGGCCUGCUGGACGGCAACUGACGUUGAGGCCCGAAAGCGUGGGGAGCAAACAGGAUUAGAUACCCCGGUACAA